AUUCCAUCCGUGCCCAGAUAGGCCGAGCCCGGCGUGCAAAGCUGUGUACAACAUGAAUGUUUUGUUCGUUCGGCUCGCGUUAUCUUGGCAUGGCCUGUUGU
RNAcentral lists this microRNA precursor (101 nucleotides) under Branchiostoma belcheri (Belcher's lancelet). RNAcentral describes it as "microRNA bbe-mir-375 precursor". Its record names the gene bbe-mir-375. The stretch from base 17 to 85 matches the Rfam family "mir-375 microRNA precursor family". Lineage: Eukaryota; Metazoa; Chordata; Leptocardii; Amphioxiformes; Branchiostomatidae. The record is from miRBase by way of RNAcentral.